CGGGGUGCAGCAGGCGCGAAAACUUUGCAAUGCGGGAAACCGUGACAGGGGAACUCCGAGUGCCCGUUAAAUCGGGCUGUCCACCAGUUUAAAUAACUGGUGAAGAAAGGGCCGGGCAAGACCAGUGCCGGCCGCCGCGGUAAUACCGGCGGCUCGAGUGGUGGCCACUAUUACUGGGCUUAAAGCGUUCGUAGCUGGUUUGUUAAUUCUCUGGGGAAAUCUUCCGGCUUAACCGGAAGGCGUCUCAGGGAUACUGGCAAACUAUGGACCGGGAGAGGUGAGGGGUACUCCUGGGGUAGGAGUGAAAUCCUGUAAUCCUUGGGGGACCACCUGUGGCGAAGGCGCCUCACCAUAACGGCUCCUACAGUGAGGGACAAAAGCUGGGGGAGCAAACCGGAUUAUAUACCCGGGUAGUCCCAGCUGUAAACAAUGCGCGUUAGGUGUAUCGGUGACCACGAGUCACCGAGGUGCCGAAGAGAAAUCGUGAAACGUGCCGCCUGGGAAGUACGGUCGCAAGGCUGAAACUUAAAGGAAUUGGCGGGGGAGCAC
Molecule: ribosomal RNA, 549 nt
Filed under: uncultured archaeon
Lineage: Archaea
Description: bacterial SSU rRNA
Rfam family: Archaeal small subunit ribosomal RNA
Source: RNAcentral